GUCUCUUUAGUAUAAAAUAUAAAUAACUUCCAAUUAUUAGAUCUUAGCUAAGAAGAGACA
RNAcentral lists this transfer RNA (60 nucleotides) under Batrachoseps campi (Inyo Mountains salamander). Its description in RNAcentral is "tRNA-Gly". The record is from RNAcentral. RNAcentral also lists the same sequence under 1 other name. Lineage: Eukaryota; Metazoa; Chordata; Amphibia; Caudata; Plethodontidae.